ACUCCUACGGGAGGCAGCAGUGGGGGAUAUUGCACAAUGGGGGAAACCCUGAUGCAGCGACGCCGCGUGUAGGAAGACGGUCCUCUGGAUUGUAAACUACUGUCCCCAGGGACGAAGAUGACGGUACCUGGGGAGGAAGCUCCGGCUAACUACGUGCCAGCAGCCGCGGUAAUACGUAGGUGGCAAGCGUUGUUCGGAAUAACUGGGCGUAAAGGAUGCGUAGGCGGUUAAACAAGUUAUAUGUUAAAUAUAUAGGCUUAACCUGUAGAAAGCAUAUAAAACUGUUUAACUAGAUUGCAGGAGAG
RNAcentral lists this ribosomal RNA (305 nucleotides) under uncultured bacterium. RNAcentral describes it as "bacterial SSU rRNA". It matches the Rfam family "Bacterial small subunit ribosomal RNA", at positions 335 to 656 of the family's 1533-position model. The record is from RNAcentral.